GACGAACGCUGGCGGCGUGCUUAACACAUGCCAGUCGAACGGAAAGGCCCUGCUUUUGUGGGGUGCUCGAGUGGCGAACGGGUGAGUAACACGUGAGUAACCUGCCCUUGACUUUGGGAUAACUUCAGGAAACUGGGGCUAAUACCGGAUAGGAGCUCCUGCUGCAUGGUGGGGGUUGGAAAGUUUCGGCGGUUGGGGAUGGACUCGCGGCUUAUCAGCUUGUUGGUGGGGUAGUGGCUUACCAAGGCUUUGACGGGUAGCCGGCCUGAGAGGGUGACCGGCCACAUUGGGACUGAGAUACGGCCCAGACUCCUACGGGAGGCAGCAGUGGGGAAUAUUGCACAAUGGGCGGAAGCCUGAUGCGGCAACGCCGCGUGCGGGAUGACGGCCUUCGGGUUGUAAACCGCUUUCGCCUGUGACGAGGCGUGAGUGACGGUAAUGGGUAAAGAAGCACCGGCUAACUACGUG
This 468-nucleotide ribosomal RNA is filed under the name uncultured bacterium. Its description in RNAcentral is "partial 16S ribosomal RNA". It matches the Rfam family "Bacterial small subunit ribosomal RNA", at positions 28 to 507 of the family's 1533-position model. The record is from RNAcentral.